This is a long non-coding RNA of Mus musculus (house mouse), 15356 nucleotides long. RefSeq annotates it as predicted gene, 54195. Lineage: Eukaryota; Metazoa; Chordata; Mammalia; Rodentia; Muridae. The record is from RefSeq and is a predicted model, not a curated record. The transcript has 2 exons.
GGAACUCCUCGGAGAGGAACAGGUUUGGUUCAAGGCCGUGUCUGGUCUCGAGUGUUUCCCCUUGCUCUUUGAUCAGCACAGGGGACAAACAAACCGUUGUCUGAUGAGAGGAAGCAUUCUUCACGACUGGGUGUCUCAAGUGCUCACGACAUUAAAAUAAUCAGCAGAGCCACAGUGUAGUGAGUGUGGACCGCGGAGGAUGUGACUGGGGUUUGAGUCCAAGGCACAGCUCCACCCAGCCACGAUGACCUCAGUCGGCUUAUAAAUGUCACCACGUGACCUGUAACCUUUCAUCUCCCUCUCUCGUCUUUUGAAUCCUUUUGGAAGAUGACUUAAAUGAUAAAAAAUGGCUUUUCAGUAGGCCGUGUGGUGGGAUGGAAGCCAAAUAUAAACUUAUGUGUAGAUAUCAGAUAAAUUCAUCACCAAUGCUGAGGGACAUGAACAGGCAGCCACUGGUCAUAAAUAUCAAGAAAUGCUCUGAGUCCGUGGUCAGGGAUUGCAUUGAAAAAGGAAAAUCUAGGCAUAUCACGUUACAUAUUCCUAGUCUCAGUGAUGACUGGGUUCUGGGCAGUUCCUGUCCUAAGCGGUGCUCCCAGCUGCAUGUUUUGAUUUUUCUCUGAAUUUCCCAGUUUACCACCGAUAUCCAAAAGUGGGAAUCACCCCCUCUCUCCUCCCUGUUAGGGGGUGAAAUCACUCAAAGCAUGUUUUGGCUACACAGUGCUCUUACCUUGUGAGAGUGAGCCCUGUUGGAAUUUGGUCAGUGGUCUGGCAAACCCAGGAAGGAGUUAGCUUAUUCUUCAGGAAGGACUUUCUCUUAAUCUCCUGAGUAUUUGUCCUUCUGAGCCUGGCUUUAUUUCAAGGCAAAGGCUCUUUUGAAGUGUUAAAUGUAUUAAGAGCUGUUACCAGUAAAUAGAAAGGAGACCUAACCAGGGCUUCAGCCAAAUUACAGACUUUGAGGUGGCAAUGAGAGUUUGACAGUAGCGGCUCUUCCAGACAGACCCAGGAAACACACUCGGAGUGAAACCUCAGAGCAUGCGUGUGUUAUGCAGUGGAAGAGCAUUGUCUGGAGUCAGCCCCCAACACUGCAUAAAAGGAGGACAUGGGUUCCGUUGGUAAAAUGCUUGCCACAUGAACAUGUGGACCUCAGUCCAUCCCCACACUGAUGCAAAAAGCCAAGCGUGGCGGCACAUAUUUUUAAUUCUAUGCUGGAGAGAUGGUGACAGGAUCCCGGAGCCUGGCUAGUGAGCUUCAGGUACCCAUGAGAGACCCUGUCUGAAAAACAUGAACUGGAUGGCAACUAAGAAAUGACACCUGAGUAAUCUCUGGGCGCCACAUGCAUGCACAUGCAUGUGAAUGCAGACUUGCACAGCACACUGAAUAUGUGAAUGCAAAUGCACACCCCUCCGAACACACACACACUGCAUAAAUGUAAUGAUAUAUUAAAGAAUAAGGAGAAAAAGGCACCACUCCUUAUAUUUAUGGAAUGCUUCUAUAAUAUAUUGACUAGAUUAUGGAAAAUGUACCAUUGCCCAGCAAACAGUAACCUUUUGAGACAAAGCCUUCCUUAUACAAAGCAAGACAGCUUAAGUUCCCUGAACAGAUAGGUUCAUCCCGCGAAACGUCUCUGUUGAAUACCAAUCUUCUCAUGGAUUGUGGUUAGCUGCUGCUUCAUCCCAGUUAAGCCUUGGGAUUUGUCCUGGUGGAAUCUCAGAAAUUCCCCUUUUAGAGCUCUCUGUCUGGUUAAAUGCCAGAUAACACGGCUUCUUGCAACUCCUUUAUUAAGAGUCCAUUUCUGGCAGCUUUGACAGAGAUACCAGAGGGCAUUAAAUGAACUAGUUGUCUAUUCUUGUAAUAAACAGGGAGCUGGUCAUUUUGAAGAUUUUUUUUCCUCUUUAUGAAAUAGAAUUACGUUUCUAUUUCGUUGGUCUCCUCACAUGUCUUUUCUGAUGAAAUUUAAAAAAAAAAAAUUCCAACAUUGGCAGCAGCUCCCAAAUACCCGGGCUGCCACCAUGUCAGAAAAGGAUGGCAUCUCAGUCCUUUAUCAGGGCCCCUGCCAGUAAGUGGGACGUUUUUCUUGAGAACUGAAGUUACAUGGCCCAAGUCAUUCAGCAGAACUUGAUGAGCAAGAGGAGGAGGGGCUAAAAGUAUCCAGCCAUACAGUACCCCAGCCCGUGGCCCACAGCUCAUGGGUCUGGACCUCUGACACAGGGCUAUAGCAAGGAGUGCUGCAGAGUCCCUGCCUCAGCCGGCUUACAUUCUAGGAGAGACACUUGCUGGAAGGAGGUCACUGGCCAGGAACUGCAUCCAAACACCAGCAAGAAGCAUUGAGUACUGGCUAUUUAGAGAGUGGCAGGAGACCAGUGUCUAGCAUUCUACAGUUUGAUUGUUGUAGUGAGGACUGAACCCAGGGCUUUGUGGCUGCUAGGCAAAUGCUCUGUUACUGAGCCCUAACCCUGAGAUGUCCAUUUUGGAGCUGAGAACCUUCCGGAGGAAGUGUCAUUAGACUCUAUGGAGUAAGAGAGAUCUGCACAGGAACAGGCUGAGGACAUUCCAGGAGGAGGAUGGCGAGGACCUUGCUGACUCCGCCUGCCUAACCGCAGACGCCCCUUGUCUGAGACCUUGGAGUCUUCAGCAGGCCAGAUCUCUGGUUCAGAGUGAACCCUAGUCAGGUGGAGGGUGGAAAGUGGCUGAAUCUGCUGGGUUAACAUCAGUGUUAGUCAGUAAACCCAGACAAGGCUGUGGCGUUUAGUUUGAAGGAGGAGGCAAGGACUUUGAACUGCGUCAAAGCUGGAGUGAUGUUAAAUCCACGGUGGGGAUCAGAUUUGCUUAAUGUGAAAAACUUGAAGCACACUUAGGUGGAGCACAGGAGCAGUGGAGGCUAAAGUAACUACCCUUCAAAGUUAGUAUCUCUCAGUCCGGGUUAAUAGAGCAGGUGAAUGCUAGAAAGAAUAAUUUUAUGUAAAUUCCAGUUGCCCUUGAAGAUACAAGGAAUGGCUGCCUCUCCAGGGGAAGCUGGUCUGCAUUUUGUUUUCUGAGAUCACAAGAUCUGUUCCUUAGAAGGAAACUUAGCAGUUACAUAGCGUGAAUCAGGUCUCCAACACCCUUGGUGACCUGUAGCCGUAGAGAACUCAUUACUUCUGAUAACAUUAUUGAGCACAUAGCCUGUGACGGAGCCUGAUACUGAAUCUAGGAAGAUGAAGCAAAGAGUUAGAGUUCUCAGAUGCAGGAAGGGUAUGUGUAUACUCACAAAAGACAUGCAUAUGAGAAUAACUGCAUUCAAUGGUGGUCGGAGUGGUUGUGCAUUGGAGAGAUAAACGACAUGCAUACGAUAAUGCUGCAGUCAGCGCUGGUUGGGGUAGUUGUGCAUUUCAGAGUUCCCACAGUGCCCUACCCUCCCCGUUUCUGUAUUUGGGAUACUUUUACUAUUCAAAUCACUAUGGAUUUUCACUCUGUGUUGGAUCUCUCCUCUUAGCUCUUGGGGAUUUUUAGGAUAGAGCUCUGCUUCCUUUGGGGUAUGCAGGUAGAGCAUCUGUAAGAAACACAUAGCCUCAGAGGACAUUUUUCCCAAAGCUGUGGGAAUUGCCAGGCCGGGGGCCACCAUGGCUGUGUUCCCGCCUUCAUUACUAUGGAGGACGCGAUGGAUAAAGAAUACCUCACGCCCAACACCCUAGUCCCCGGUGGGCAACACCGUGGACCUGCCCAUGGCCCUAGAUAACUAUGACAACCAGGCCAUAGAGAGCACAUAUGUGUGUGCAGAUGAUAAUGAAGCCCAUGGAAUAAUGUGUGGAACAACCUAGUUGUAAUCGGCUGAAUUUAGCUUAAAAACUCCGGUCUGGCAUGGCAAAAUCACUCACCUCCUGAGUGCCCAGCGGAGAAACUUCCAGCCGAGAAAUAAGUCUGGUAGACCCCACGCAGACACGUUCAUCUGCUGCUUAGAGAGCAAAGCCUACAGGACUCAGCUCAGGUCCAGAGGCUCCCAAGUAAGGAACAUGAGUCUCGCCUUACCUGCGCACUGCCACUGGGAGCUAAGGAAACACUUGCCAAACUGGAAAGGUUAGUGAGAGAGUGUUUAUGUUAACGAACGAAUGUGGGCCCUUGUUACCAUUUAUUUGCUUUUUGACAUUUACGAGUAAAUAAAAGUACUAAAACCUUUUCCACCAGGUUUUGAGGAAUUUGUCUCUGCCACGCUUUACAGCCCAAAUCGCGAUAGCAUCCUUUCUCUGGGUGGUCCUCCCAUGCUAUGGGCUGGAACCCCACCACCAUCCUCUUGGACAUGCACCUCUGGCCUCCCUAUAGCCUACCCUUUCCACCACUGAGGGGACAAUUGAGGAGCCAUAGAAAGUAUGCCUAUGGCCUGGAGAGGUGGCUUAGCAGUUAACAGCACUUGCUAUUCUUGCAGAAGGCCUGGGUUCCUUUUUCCAGCACUUACAAGGAAGUUCACGUCUUUCUGUAACUACAGUUCCAGGAGAUCGUAUGCAGGCACUUGAUAUACAUGGUGCAAUACAUACAUACAUGCACAGGCAUAAAAUAUAAAUAAAUAAACCUUUAACAUUUAAAAAUAUGUAUAUAUUUAAUAUUAAUUUUAUAUAAGAAUAUAUUUAAUAUAACUAUAUUAUAUAUAUACAUACAAUAUAUUAAAAAGGAAAUAUGUACUAUGUUUUGGGUAUCCAUGGAGUUUGAGAUCCACUGUCCAUCCCUGAGUCCACAGCUUGCUGAUAGUUCCAGCUUGUUAUCAGCCCCAGCUGCCUUACCACGUAACCCACACAUCUAUCUAGGUUUGGGGCUCAGUGGACAAUUCUAGGCAUGCCUACCAUCACAUCCACCUUUUCUACUUCUAGAGCCCAAACCGUUCCUCUAGAAGGACACCCUUCCGCUCAGUGUGGAUUCGGCCACACACCUGGUCAGUGUCCUUCACUUCCUCCUCCUCCUCCUCCUCACUCAAGCCUUCCUCCUUCAGCCUUCCUUCUCCCUCUGUGAAUAUGAAGCUGUAACUUGAAAAGGGCUGGAGUGGUCCCGUGAACACUGGCUGCACAGGCCUCAAUCGAUCGUUCCAGUGGCUGUCACUAAUGAAGGCCACUGGAGGAGUGUUGAUUGGGUGAAGGACGCAGCUCAAGUCACACCGUUAGAAUUCUCCUUUGAGAUCGACAGGCACUCGUUCAGGUGAUGUGUACCCUGGGGUCGGGCAUCCUCUCCGUCAUCGGCAGCAUCCUUUCCUUUGUCAUCCCUCCAUGUCUUUGCGAGCCCGGGAGCUUAGUUGGACCUUCUGUUUCCUUACUGAGCCCUUGCUAGGUGUCCCCACAUAGUUCAAUCUCAUGCACAAACCCAGUGUGGUUUCUCAUCCAUGGGGCUCUCAGAAACCCAUCCCAGCUCCGGGUUGCAGUGCCUCACUCUCUCUUCUGCUCACUUGAUCCUAGGAACUCAUACUCUGCUGCUUUUCUUCCCUCAUAGCCUUGCCAAUUCCACCUCUGCCCUGAGACCACCACUGCAGGUAUCUGCAGAGGCCAGAAGAGGCCCUUGGAUGCCCUAGAAAUGGAGUAUGGAUUAGCUGCUUGAUGUGGGUGCCGAGAACUGUACCCAGGUCCUCUGCAGAACAGUCUGUGCUCUUUACUGCCAAGGCCUCUCUCCUGUCCCUGAAUGGCACCUGUUAGUGUGAUGAUCGAGAAAUGCUCUCCAGGGGCUGGAGAUGUAGCUCGGGUGGCAUAGUGGUUCCCUGGGGUUCUCAAGUCCCUGGGGGCCAUCUCUGGUACAUAAUCCUGAUAUGGUAAUCUAUACCUUUAUUCCUAUCACUCUGGAGGUGGAUUUGGGAGGGCCAUGAGUUAAAGGCAGUUCUUGGCUUUGUAGUUGAGGCUACAUGAAAUCCCAUCUCAAAGAAAGAAAAAGUGGGAAAUGGGGAAACAAGAAAGAAAACAUGUUGUUUACACAGGGCAUCCACAGGGUGGUGGAUGCCUGUAAUUCCAGCACCUGGCAGGGUAGUGUAAGAAAGAUGGUUAUAAAUUUGAGGUCAUCUGAGGCCACAUAACAAGACCCAGUAUUAAAUGCAGUGAUAAGAAAUAUGAUCUCUGAACCAUUCAUCAGUGAGGAGAUGAACAUUAUUUUAAGCCCUGGCUAUUCCAUGGCCUCUCUCAUUGAGCAACAGAAGUCAGUAGUUCCCUAAGAUUUCUCGUGAAUGGACUACUUUCACAUUUCUUACUACAUAAAAGGAGGUAAAUUACACCUGGUUUGUUUCUGAUAUCUGGUAUGAGUGACACAGCCUUUGAAAUAGCAGGCUUGGAAGUUCUGGGAAAUGGCCUCUCGUUUCUCUUGUUAAGAAGGGGACUCCGUAUGAUACCUUGUUUUGUUAGAGAAUUAGGUGUUUUCCCUCGCCUGCUUUUGUCUGCUUUUCUGCUCAUUAUUACUUAGUUCCCGGCAGGCAGGGCAAGGGGAGGAGUGGCCUCCCUAACUGUUGAAAGGGAGAGUUUUAUGGCUGUUAACAGGGGAUGAGAGGACUCCACUUCCCAGAAUAGGAAAGAGCCCUUCCUUGAUCCUGCCUGUGCCUUUUGGAUUUCCAGUCUCCCCUGCCUUCUCUAACACAGCCUCUGCUACUAGGCAGACAACUUCUGGGGCCGUGCUUGUUAUUCAGUAGGGAAUACCAAGGGGACAGGACUUACAGCUCAGUGGCCAUGUGACCUAGAUAGACAUCCCUACAGGGGAAGGGAGGUUUCUCCCUUCAGUGAUUUGGCAGGUUGACCUCUCUCACUUUCUGUCUGUUUCCCCACCUGGAGUACCCAGGUUAUAGGUUUGUCAUGAGAGUAAAGUAAUGCAGGUCUCAGCAGGGUGGCUCUCAGGACUGGGCCUUCUCCACAACUGGCCCACCAGCUGCGUCCGUGGUGCCUAGCCACUGCCUACAUGGAGCUUCCUGGUACAGAAGUGCCUGGGCUCUCCUCUCCUGAGCAUCCGCAGGGCAGGUCCAGUCCCAUCCAGACACCCUAUUCUGUCUUCGUCAUUUGUCACAUCCAGAGACCCUGUUGACCAAGUUGUUUCUGCGUCUCAAGUCUGCUGACAUGGCCUUCCAUCUCCGAGCACAUGGCAGCACUCUUGGAUAGCUGCCCAUAGCCUCUCCCUGUGGACAGGCUGUAGGCUGUCACUGGAUCUUACUCUAAAUGGCCAAGACUGAUGGAGUCCUUGGCAUCUCAACUUCAGACUGCAGACUAAGACAAGAUACUACACUGUGGACUAAAUGACGAAUGAUAGCCCUUGGUCCCUCACAGCCCUGAGAAGGAUGGCCGUCUACAUCAAGGCGCUGGCUGGUUCCAUUCCAAGAGAAGACUGUCUGUCGUCCUAGUCUGCAGAUGGGUGAAUCCGCACUGCAUCUGCACAGGGCAGGAUGAGAGAGGCCAGGCUCUGCUCUCUUCCUCUUCUUACAAGGACCCCUGUCAGGGCAUUGGGGUUCUAGUCUCAUGGCCUUCUCCUAGCCUAAUAUCCUUCAAGAUAUCAUCUUCAACAAUUGGUGGUGAUUAUGUUUCAACAUACUAAUGGGCUGGAGAGGCGUUCAGUCCUAAACAGAGCUUCUAUUGCUUUUUCUGUUUAAAUAUUCUGUUUAAGACUAGAAUGUUCCUAAGUAUAUUUUCUGCCUUCUAAAUAGAUACAUGAAAGAAUCCAGCAAGCGGCAAGGAACACAGGGACCUUAGCAUGUGGGGACACUUCUGUGUGGAGCUGUGUCUGCGGGACAGUCACUCACUCGUGGGGGCGGGGACUGUGUCUUCCCUACCUGUGAGCAAUGCCAGCCUGUGGAACUUGGCCCAGCUGUCCUCCCAACAGCUGCUUGACUGCUAGAUUCUGUAUAGGCUUAAAAGAUGAUCGUAACCCUCUUCAUCUCUUCAAAGAUACCUCAUGACGAUUUUUUUUUUUUAAUUUUGCAAGAAAGGAUUACUUGAGUCACUCUGAUGAACUUGCUUGACAAGGUAAAAUGGAAGGGAUCUUGUGCCUUUGAAGCAGUUGGCUUUCCUGCUUGUGAGCUUUUCUACUAGGUGUGAGCUAGGCUGCUCUCGCCCCAUCACAUCUCCUGACACGCUCUCCUGGCACUCUUCAUCCCCUACCCCCUCUGGCCUCUGCGCAGUUCAUCCAUCCCGUAGAUGGAGACUUGGGUUUUUACAAAAUGACUGCCAUGGCACAUUCUUGGAGGGCCUUUGAUGUGUUUCCAUAGUCCCCUGCCUGGUCCUUCUGCGGACAUCCUUCAGAAACACAUUUCCAAUUCUCCAGGACAACCCCCUCUAUGGGGAGCUGCAUGUUCUUUGAAAUGUCGCACCCGCCAUUGUCAGCAAUGGAAAUGGCUCCUUCCCUCGUAUCCUGGGGAGGUUUUCAGGCCCACCAUUACGGUAAGGCCUGGUGUGUGGGGCAUAGGUGAAUCAGGACCCAGUGUCAGAAAUAUCUCAGCGGAAUUCAACUGGUCUGGGUUUGUACACAUUUCAUAUGCCUGCCUCUCUGUUUCUCGUCCAGCCGUUGGAAGGAAUCUGCUUGUUUAUGAAAAGACAGGAGAGCCCCAGACCCCGGGGUGCGUUCCUGCUAUUUUUUUGCAGUUCUUCUCUGUGUGGGUUGACAGAAGAAACUGCAGCCUGCCAGGUGGCACACAGAGGCUGCUCUGUGCUGGCGCUGAGGAAAACCACAGACACUCCUGAAGUGUAUUGGCUUGGAACACACCGCAGCUUUGUUUGCCUUUUUUUGUUUCUGGCGCUUGCAAAAAGCAACUUCUUUGAAGAAGAAAUUGUUACCCAGAACAGACUCCUCUCUUGCGGGAACCGUGAAGAAGAUGCUGCUUCAGCAGCAGAGAUGGCUGGGCGGAUGAGGUGCUGGUGACGCGGUGGGGACGAAGGUUGGCGGAUGUUUCCACCCUCUUACCGGAGCUUAUGCGGACAGACUGGAGUUGAGCAACCAUAAGAAGGUCACUGCAGAGUUCUGAGUCCAACCGCCACCAUGUGCUGUCAGCUCCCUGGCUGCAGAAGGAUCCAGCUGCUGCUUGGGCAGGGUCCCCUUGAGGCUGUGACUUCUCCGUCUUCUUCCUCCCGCUGUGCCGCUUCUGGAACCCAGGACCGCUAGCCCAGGGGAUGCCAACUCCCACGUUGAUCACUAAAGGAGGAAAUGCCUUACAGCUGGAUCUCCUGGAGUCAUUUCCUCAGCUGGCUAACUGGGCUCCUUCCUCUCUGCUCACUCCAGCUUGUGUCGAGUUGACACACAAACCCAGCCAGAGCAUCCUUCCUCUCAGAUGUACCCGUGGAUGUGGUGGCAUCCCCUUGUCCUAACGUAAUAGAGAUGUGGAUGAUAGAGCUAAGCUGUCACUGGAUUCUUUUCUGUGCCAGGUAUUUCGCGCAGAGUGUUUGCAUUUACUUGAUCUAUCUCGUUCUCAUAAUCACCUUAUGGCAUAUGCUAUAAUUUCACGGAUGUGUAAAUUGAGGCUUAGGCAGGUGAGGCGGCUUGCCUACAAUCACAUAGGCAGUAAGCAGAGAAACUGAGAUGCAAAACAAUUUUGCCAGAUGAAAGAUAAUAACAAGUGCUAAUGAAGGUGUGGAAAGUGAACCCUUGCACAGUGUUGGUAAAAAUAUAAAUUAGAAGAGCCGUUAUGAAGAAAGGAAUAGAGGUCCCUCAAAAAAUGAAUUAAUCUAUAAAGCUAGGAGCCAUGUGAAAUAGUAUAUAGAGAUAAUCCAAACAUCUAAGAGGCUACAACAGGAGGAUCACACUGAGUUCAAGCCCUGCCUGGAUUGCACGUUGACUUUGAGGCCAACCUGAACUACAUACUGACAUUGCUUCAAAUGAAGAAUUAAAAACAGAAUUGCCGUGUCUGGGGAGGGAGGUGGGUCAGAGGGCAAAGUGGUUACUGUGCACCGGCAAGGACCUAAAUCCAGAUCCCCAGCGUCCGUUAAGAUCAGGACAAGAUGGCACACACUUUUAAGUCUGGCACUGGGAGGUCACAAGAUGCCAGGAUCUCACUAGACAGUAUAGCCAAAAUGGUAAACUCCAGGUUCAGGAAAGGACUCUGUCUCUAAAAACAAACAAACAAAAAUGAUGGAGAAGCAGUUGACAAAAAAAAAAAAAAAAGUCUAGUGUCAACGCCUGUCUUCUACAUACUUCCCACACAUCAGGUUGGCACACAUACAUGCAUACGUAUACAUAGCUCUGAAGAAAAAAAAAAAGACAAAAUAACAAAAGCUGGUUGUCCAGUUUCUGGAGUGGCGAUUUGUUGAAAACACUUGUUGCUUUCACGUUUGUAAUGGACUGAGCUGUAUCUCGUGUUUAGAGCAGCGCUUUAUGUUAUGAGUGAUUCGGCUUUCCUCUCUUGCUUGCUGGGACAGCCGUAAUCUGAGCUGGAUUGCAGCAUGAAUAUGAGGCAAGUUUAGGAAUGUGUGCUAAUUUACAUCAGCUCCUAUUAUUAUAAUCUUAAUAUUCUUAAUCGCACACACACACACACACACACACACACACACACCACCAUUAUUUUCCCUUAUUCUCAUCCCUUCUCUUUCUGCAUCUGCUUCCCCCCGACCCCCCAAGGGGGUCAGAAUCUCCCUUCCUUGUCACCCUAAGCACAGGUGACCAGUCACUCCACUCUCCCUCCACCUAGACUCAGCAUCUCAGAGUGGCAUUUUCUGACUUCUGCCAAGGUCAACAUCAUUGGCCUCACUACCCCCUCCAUGCCUGGAGCAUACAGGUAGGAGAAGGAUAAAAACUUGUCACAUUCCAGUGCUAGGCCAUGUGUGUGUGCUUGUCAUGUCAGCUCUGGCUAUUGGAGGGACAGUCGCCAGAGGACGGUUUGUGCUCGUUUUUAAAAAAUAAGUUUCAAGAUUUAAAAGUUAGUGUUUAAACUCCAAAGCUAAGAUAGUCAACUUUACGUGCAGAAUUAGGACGUAAGCCGUGGUAGUAUUGCUGGCCAGUGAUGUCGCUACCAGAGUCCCCAGGUUCCAUCCAGACUGCUCAUCUCUUUGCUAAUGCUGAGUUGAAAGCCAGUUCUCAUGAAUGAGCCAGGACCAGCCUUAAUUGCUGCUGACAUGGGUCACCAGCUAGCCUGGAGAAGGCAUCAGUUGAGACGUAGUACUUCUUUCACUCUUCUUCUCUGAUGUCCCUAAACAGCCCUUCCCUCUUUCCAGCAUGAAGUGUGAGCUUUAGUUUUAGACAGGCUCUGUUAAAAUCUUCAGGAGCAUCAAAGCAAGACUCUCUGGGUCCAGAUUAAAAACUCAAGUAGAACUUUCUCUUUUAGUCCUUGUUAGUUUUCUUUCCACCUUGAUAUUUUGUUUCGAGUUUCCUGUAUGGCCUGGCUUUGAAUUCACUGUGUAGCUAAGGAUGGCCGUGAACUUCCACUCCUUGCACCUCCAUCCCAAAGGGCGGGGGCCACCAGCUUGUAUGCCCAGGAAAUAGCUGGAAUCCCCCCUGCUCUUGUGCUGCUUUUCUUUGUCUUUUUUAAGAUUUAUUUAUUUUAUGUACAUGAGUACACUGUAACUGUCUACAGACACACCAGAAGAGAACAUCGGAUCCCAUUACAGACGUUUGUGAGCCACCAUGUGGUUGCUGGGAUUUGAACUCAGGACCUCUGGAAGAGCAGUCAGUGCUCUUGACCUCUGAGCCAUCUCUCUAGCCCCCAUGUGGUGUUUUUCUUAAGCACCACCUUUGUAUUUCUCCAUGUGGUAAAAAUUAGCCCGACACAUGGUUGUACGUGGCUCCGUGGCUCUCGGUGUGCACUUUCCUAGCUCUGGUCCCCAGAGAGAAGAGCCGGUCAUAAAUGUCUGCAUCCCAGCGGGAGGACUUGAGACUUCCCUGCUCUCUGGGGUGGGGAGGGGCUCUGGAGAAGCUGGGGAGCACUGACAGGGAUGAAGAGGAUGAAGAGGAGGAGUCCCCACAGAAGAGGGUGGGCGCCACAGGUUUCUGGUAACCAGGUAACUGCUGUUUUCUCAUCACAGGCUCCUCAGGAUUCACUGCAGAUCUAAGCACCUACUCUACACUUGGCUGACUUACCUGUGACCUUAGAGUUGUAGGUUUUUUUUUUUUUAAGCUUGCAUUAUCAUUAUUAUUCAGCAGGCAUGGACUAGCACUUCUUCCUAAUUUGUCAUAUUCGGCUCCCCAGAAUUAAAAGUCCAGGGAGAGCGCCUCACGCUUCUGACACCAGAAAAAUGACGCCUUGGCUCCCAUCACUUUUGUAAUCUAAAAAAUGAGGAAUGUAUGCGGUUUGUUUUGAAGUCCUGUGUAAUCAGAAAUAGACCAGCUCUCUGAAGCAGUACUGACAGAUGGGAGCAUCAGCCUGCUUUCCCUCCGCAUCGAGAUUCUAACCUCAUUCCAGGUGACAGAGAGCAUACUGAAUAUACUGUAUGCUUGAAGAGUACCGAGCGUGGGUGUGCUAUAUUCUCCCCAGCAGAAAGUAUAACUGUGGGGUAACGAGUGUUAUAUGGAUUUAUUCAUUCCAACACACACACAUAUACACACACACACACUAAGAACAUCCAACUUAUUAGGUAAUGUAAUAUUUAUUUGCUGUUUAUAUUUUGGGAACGCUCCUCAUUGUCUCUCUCUCUGUCUCUGUCUCUGUCUGUCUGUCUCUUGCUCACUCGCUCUCUCUUGCUCUGUGUGUGUGUGUGUGUGUGUGUGUGUGUGUGUGUGUGUAGCCCCAGGCUAGUUUCAAUGUCUCUAGCCUAGGCUGGUCUCCAACUUGAGAUGUCUUGCUUUCACCCUGAAUGCUGGGACUGUAGACAUGUACCACCACAAUGGAAGUGUAUGUAAGCUCAUCUGUUCCUAUGGUAUAAGGUUUUCUUUUACCCCACUCUGGGGAAAAAAGAAGUCUGAAUUAAUUUACAACUGAUAACAACUUGGGUGUGCUCUGAACCCAUCAAAAGUAAAGUCCUCAGGGGUCCUCCCUGUGUUGCAUGCACAGAGCCCCUGGCACUUGGUGGUACCUGUCUCCAGCACUGUCUUUUCCUGGAAUUUAGAAUUAGAUAAGGAAACUAGGCUCUCAAAUUAUCAUCGGUUUCCAUGGAAACAGUUGAAAGCCCCUCAAUUAAAAGUGUCCCUGCAGGCUAGGGAGAGUAUUCAAAUGAGCUGCUCUGAGAAGCCAAGUUAUCCUCAAAGUGAAGCCAGAGAGGACGGAGGAGCAAGGAGUCUGCUAGAGCACCAGUUGCGAUCUCUAUUAUUUUUUUUCCAUUCAGGGAAGAAUUUUAUCUUGGUAUUUCAUUUGUAGCAUGUUUGUUGGCUUUGGCAGAGCCACCUAGAUAAUUGUCCUGUUAUCUACUAAGUUUUUUAUGCUCGCCCAUGGAUCACGGAAGUGUUUGAGAACGCUCUGAGCUUUGCUCACACAUGAAUAUGAGUCACAGAUAAAAAGCCCAUUUAAAAAAAUUGAUGAUAUCCUAGAAGAAUACUAAGUUGGAAAGAGUCUGUGGGUCAUUAAGAACUAACUUCCCACCCAUUUGGGAUUCCUUGCUAGAGUGCAGUAACAGAGGUUGUUCAAGGUAUACUUCAAACAAAAAAAAAAGAAUUUAUUUAUUUCAAACGUAUGAGCGAGUUACAUGCAUGUAUGUCUGUUUGCCGCAUGCAUGAUGCAUGGUGUCCUCAGAAGUCAAAAGUGGACAUUGGAUUCCCUGGAAGUAGAAUUAUGGGUGACUGCACUAUGUAGGUGCUGGGUUCUCUACAAGAACAGCAAGUGCUAACCACGGAGCCAUCUCUUCAGUCCCCUCACAUUAUACUACUAAGGAAAGCAGUGUGUGUGUGUGUGUGUGUGUGUGUGUUUCAUGGUAAGUGCUGGAGAGAUGGCCCAGUGGUUGAGAGCACUUGUUGCUCUUCCAGAGGUCCUGUGUUUAGUUCCUAGCACCAACACGGCAGUUCACUACCACUUGUGACUCCAGUUCCAGGGCUCUGACAUUGUCUUCUGACCUCCAUGGGCACUAGGCAUGCAUGUGCUACCCAUAAAUGCAGCCCAAACACUCGUGUACAUUAUAAAAGAAGAUUUAAAAAGACAGUAAUUGUAUACCUGUCAAGCCAGGUGUGAGAUCUCUGCUUGGAAGUUGGCAGUAGAGACUGCAAACUCAGGGCCUUGCUAAACCAGCACCUCAUGGUUCCAGAAGUCACAUAGAAAAACUGGAUGUAGCAGCACACGCCUGUACUUAAUACUAGGGAGGCAGAGAUGACAUAACCUUAGGGCUUGUUGGCCAGCCAGCCUAGCGGAAUGUAUGAGCCAGUUCACUGAGAGGCAGUUCGCAAAAGCUAAGAUGGAUCAUGAUUGAAGUUCAACACUCUAGUCCACAAACACAGUUGCAGACUCAUACACACGUUUGACACACACACACAAACACAUAAACUCACAUGCGCACGCAUCUGUUUGUUGUCCCAAGAAACACACUUUAUCAUCAGAGACAAAAACCUGAAGAUGAAAGGUUUUUCAGCCCUGUGGAACUGGAAAGAAAUCAGGGUAUAUCAGAAAUAAUCUGACAAGAUAGACUUUAAACCACUUAGAUGGAAGAGAUAAAAAAAAAGUUACUUAGUACUAAUUAAAAGAAAAUCACAAUUUGAAACAUGUGUAUACCAGACAUGUGUGUAUCUAAUUUUAUAAAACAAACACUGUUGGAUUCAAAGAGGCAGAUUAACCCCCAACCCAGUAAUAGUUAGUAAUGCCAGCACUCUACUCUUACCAAUAGGCAGUCCAACAAAACCUAGAAACAUCUAAGUUAAAUGACACAGGUCAGAUGGACCUAAGAGACAUCUGUGGAAUGGUUCACUUAAACCCUGUAGAGUCCACAUUCUUUUCGAAGCUCAAGGAACCAUUGUAUACUGUCUGAUGACAGUGGAGUGAACCUUGAGAUGAACAGCAAGAGGAACUGCAGAGUGUAGAGCUGAGGACCCAGGACACAUUCCUGGAUGAAAGCAGUCCUAAGCAGUUAAUUCAUAGCUACAAGUAUGUACACUUAGAAAUUAGAGCUCAGGGUUGAAGAGAUCGCUCAGCAGCUAAGAGAAGAGCCCUGGCUGCUCUUCCAGGGACCUGGGUUUUAAUUUCCAGCACGCUCAUGGCGGACUGCAACUGUAACUCCAUGUCUGGAGAGAUCUGUCUGACACGUCUUCUGGCCUCUGUGGCACAAAUGUAGGGCACAGACAAGCAUUCAAACUGAACACUUGUACACAUCAGAAACAUUUAAAAGUUAUUUUUAAAGAAGAAACCAGCUAGUGAUACAUGUCAGGGCCUUGGUAAACAAGAACAAGCCAAACAUAAAACCAACAGAUGGGAACAAAGACUCAGGAUCAGGGCAGAAAUGAGCGUCAUGAAACACUCAAAUGACAAAGAAUCAGUGAAACAGGGCUUUGGAAAAAUAAACAAGAUUCACAUGCUCUUAGCCAAACCAAAAGGAAAUCCAUGCAAA